This 640-nucleotide long non-coding RNA is filed under the name Homo sapiens (human). RNAcentral describes it as "HSALNT0357471". The record is from RNAcentral. Lineage: Eukaryota; Metazoa; Chordata; Mammalia; Primates; Hominidae.
GGAGGCUUACCUCACUCUCUCUUCGGGUUGCAUUCGCCAUAAGAGAGCCGGUAGACCCCUGAAAUCCCGGGACCGCCUCCCACGCAAAACACGGAGUCUAGCUCUGUCACCAGGCUGGAGCACAGUGGCAUGAUCUCGACUCACUGCAACCUCCACUGAAGAAGGAAUUCAUGAAUUUUACAAGUAUAAUCAAAGACCACCAAGAAAUUUUUACUUUUUCCUUCAAAAGCUAAGUGUAGUGUAGCACCCCCUGCCCAUAGUCUAAGUUACAGAAGAAUACUAACUGCCUGUUUUUCUUUCUGUGUUGUGAGCCUUAUCUGUUCUCACCAGUUUCACAUUCCUUGAGGCUCAGUGAGUUCCUGCGCACCUCCCUAGCACAGCUGCAAAGUUACAAGGUUGAUAUGCAUAUGUUACAGAAACAUAGUUUCCCAAGGAUGUGGAACAUGUAGUAUAGAUAAAUGUAAAAGACUGAUCAACUGCCUUUGUUCUCGCUUGUGUAAGUAGACUUCAUGAAUCACAUAGCUCCCGGCCACUGACUGCUUAAAAGGUGGCUGCAUUCUUUCUCCAGGGCUCAGACUUUCCUGGACGCUAGUCCUACUGAGCCAGGUGAUCCCCUUAAUAAAGGCUUUCCUGAACUCUC